AAGACUAUAGACCUGCGGAGUACCUGCGGAAGGAUCAUUAAAGAGUUGCAAGACUCCCAAACCAUUGUGAACGUUACCCACACCGUUGCUUCGGCGGGCGGCCCGGGCCCUGCCCGGCGCCCCCCGGCCCCUCGCGGGCGCCCGCCGGAGGUAAACCAAACUCUUGAAUUGUAUGGCCUCUCUGAGUCUUCUGUACUGAAUAAGUCAAAACUUUUAACAACGGAUCUCUAGAUCGGAAGA
Molecule: unclassified non-coding RNA, 240 nt
Filed under: soil metagenome
Description: partial contains 5.8S ribosomal RNA, internal transcribed spacer 2, and large subunit ribosomal RNA
Source: RNAcentral